This 119-nucleotide ribosomal RNA is filed under the name Pteropus alecto (black flying fox). Lineage: Eukaryota; Metazoa; Chordata; Mammalia; Chiroptera; Pteropodidae. The record is from RNAcentral.
GUCUACCGCCAUGGCACCCUGAACAAGACCGAUCUCAUCUGAUCUCAGAAGCUAAGCAGGGUCGGGCCUGGUUAGUACUUGGAUUGGAGACCACCUACGAAGACCAGGUGCUGUAGGUG